Molecule: long non-coding RNA, 228 nt
Filed under: Phoenix dactylifera (date palm)
Lineage: Eukaryota; Viridiplantae; Streptophyta; Magnoliopsida; Arecales; Arecaceae
Description: long non-coding RNA (PDAC_LNC011671)
Source: RNAcentral
AAUCCUUUAUGUCACGGCCCCAACCCAAGAUCACGAGCCAGGGGUCGCAGCAACCACCGCAUACUCAUAGAAAACUCUCCCAACAAGCAUUCAAGGCAUCUCAACAUGAUAUCAUAAACAAACAACGAAAUAAAUUUAAAUAAUUAAUGUUCAAACAUUAAUUCAAAUAACUAAAUCAAAGCUAAAUGUCUCACAAAACCAACAACAUUCUAAAGUCUGGCAUCAAAC